UACGUGCUCCGGGGUCGGUGAGAGUCCGAACCGGCGGUGACAGUCCGCGAGCGGAGGGUGAGAGCCCGCUGCUGAACCGGUGGAAUUCCGGUGCCGACGGUAAUGCGUCCAGGUUCCGCCCUGGCGCUCAGUCCGGAUGGGAGGCGCACGUC
This 152-nucleotide non-coding RNA is filed under the name Leifsonia xyli. RNAcentral's name for it is "FMN sequence". It matches the Rfam family "FMN riboswitch aptamer (RFN element)". Rfam says of the family: The RFN element is a highly conserved domain that is found frequently in the 5'-untranslated regions of prokaryotic mRNAs that encode for flavin mononucleotide (FMN) biosynthesis and transport proteins. This element is a metabolite-dependent riboswitch that directly binds FMN in the absence of proteins. In Bacillus subtilis, the riboswitch most likely controls gene expression by causing premature transcription termination within the 5' untranslated region of the ribDEAHT operon and precluding access to the ribosome-binding site of ypaA mRNA. RNAcentral also lists the same sequence under 1 other name. Lineage: Bacteria; Bacillati; Actinomycetota; Actinomycetes; Micrococcales; Microbacteriaceae. The record is from RNAcentral.